Molecule: ribosomal RNA, 449 nt
Filed under: uncultured bacterium
Lineage: Bacteria
Description: bacterial SSU rRNA
Rfam family: Bacterial small subunit ribosomal RNA
Source: RNAcentral
GUUUCGAAUCAUUCACAAUGGGCGAAAGCCUGAUGGUGCGACGCCGCGUGAGGGAUGAAGGUCUUCGGAUUGUAAACCUCUGUCACUGGGGAGAAAACGCUUUGAGUUAAUAGUUCAAAGCCUGAUUUAACCCGGAGAGGAAGCAGUGGCUAACUCUGUGCCAGCAGCCGCGGUAAUACAGAGACUGCAAGCGUUAUUCGGAUUCACUGGGCGUAAAGGGUGCGCAGGCGGUUGGGUGUGUCAGAUGUGAAAUCCCGAGGCUUAACCUCGGAACUGCGUCUGAAACUACUCGACUAGAGUACUGGAGAGGGUAACGGAAUUCACGGUGUAGCAGUGAAAUGCGUAGAUAUCGUGAGGAACACCAGAGGCGAAGGCGGUUACCUGGACAGUUACUGACGCUCAGGCACGAAAGCAUGGGGAGCAAAAGGGAUUAGAAACCCUUGUAGUCC